Long non-coding RNA from Syngnathus acus (greater pipefish), 171 nucleotides. RefSeq lists it as uncharacterized. Lineage: Eukaryota; Metazoa; Chordata; Actinopteri; Syngnathiformes; Syngnathidae. The transcript has 3 exons. The record is from RefSeq and is a predicted model, not a curated record.
AGAGAAUGAGCGUUGAUUUGAGUUUUAUUCACGCAAUAUCCAAGACAUACAACAUGAAACAACAAACAGUAUUACGGAUGCGUGAAAGGUCACCCCAAACAAGCUAUUUAAAGCUUUUAAUAGGGGGCCUGGUUUCCCAUAAGUAUCAGAUAUUGGCCAGAUAUCCUUACA